UGGGGAAUAUUGCGCAAUGGGCGAAAGCCUGUCGCAGCGACGCCGCGUGAGGGACGACGGCCUUCGGGUUGUAAACCUCUUUCAGCAGGGAUGAAGCGAAAGUGACAGUACCUGCAGAAGAAGCACCGGCUAACUACGUGCCAGCAGCCGCGGUAAUACGUAGGGUGCAAGCGUUGUCCGGAAUUAUUGGGCGUAAAGAGCUCGUAGGCGGUCUGUCGCGUCGGAUGUGAAAACCCAGGGCUCAACCCUGGGCCUGCAUUCGAUACGGGCAGACUAGAAUUCGGUAGGGGAGUCUGGAAUUCCUGGUGUAGCGGUGAAAUGCGCAGAUAUCAGGAGGAACACCGGUGGCGAAGGCGGGACUCUGGGCCGAUAUUGACGCUGAGGAGCGAAAGCGUGGGGAGCGAACAGGAUUAGAUACCUGGUAGUCCACGCCGUAAACGUUGGGCGCUAGGUGUGGGGAACCUUCCGACGUUCUCCGUGCCGCAGCUAACGCAUUAAC
Molecule: ribosomal RNA, 499 nt
Filed under: uncultured Actinomycetes bacterium
Lineage: Bacteria; Bacillati; Actinomycetota; Actinomycetes
Description: bacterial SSU rRNA
Rfam family: Bacterial small subunit ribosomal RNA
Source: RNAcentral